This 210-nucleotide non-coding RNA is filed under the name Pseudovibrio sp. The record is from RNAcentral. Lineage: Bacteria; Pseudomonadati; Pseudomonadota; Alphaproteobacteria; Hyphomicrobiales; Stappiaceae.
CUCAGUAUGCGCGCUGAUGGUUUCUGGGGAGCGAAAGGCCUCGGGAUUAAAAGGGAACACGGUGAAGUGUAGCCAACAGGCGCUAAUUCCGUGACUGCCCCCGCAACUGUAAGCGGUUAGCGAAGCCAAGCGUGCCACUGGAGAGAUCCGGGAAGGCUGGCUGAGCACGGACCCGCGAGUCAGGAGACCUGCCAUUAUGUUUCACUUCAA